This 253-nucleotide ribosomal RNA is filed under the name uncultured bacterium. Its description in RNAcentral is "partial 16S ribosomal RNA". It matches the Rfam family "Bacterial small subunit ribosomal RNA", at positions 524 to 776 of the family's 1533-position model. The record is from RNAcentral.
UACGAAGGGGGCGAGCGUUGUUCGGAUUUACUGGGCGUAAAGGGCGCGCAGGCGGCUCAUUUUGUCAGGCGUGAAAGCCCCGGGCUUAACCUGGGAACUGCGUUUGAUACGGAUGGGCUAGAGUCCUGGAGAGGAAGGCGGAAUACUUGGUGUAGAGGUGAAAUUCGUAGAUAUCAAGUGGAACACCGGUGGCGAAGGCGGCCUUCUGGACAGUGACUGACGCUGAGACGCGAAAGCGUGGGGAGCAAACAGG